RNAcentral lists this ribosomal RNA (504 nucleotides) under uncultured bacterium. RNAcentral describes it as "bacterial SSU rRNA". It matches the Rfam family "Bacterial small subunit ribosomal RNA", at positions 21 to 536 of the family's 1533-position model. The record is from RNAcentral.
GGCUCAGGAUGAACGCUGGCGGCGUGCUUAACACAUGCAAGUCGAACGGACUCAUAUUGAAACCUAGUGAUUUAUGAGUUAGUGGCGGACGGGUGAGUAACGCGUGGAAAACCUGCCGUAUACUGGGGGAUAACACUUAGAAAUAGGUGCUAAUACCGCAUAAGCGCACAGCUUCGCAUGAAGUGGUGUGAAAAACUCUGGUGGUAUACGAUGGUUCCGCGUCUGAUUAGCUUGUUGGCGGGGUAACGGCCCACCAAGUCGACGAUCGGUAGCCGGACUGAGAGGUUGAACGGCCACAUUGGGACUGAGACACGGCCCAGACUCCUACGGGAGGCAGCAGUGAGGGAUAUUGGUCAAUGGGGGAAACCCUGAACCAGCAACGCCGCGUGAGGGAAGACGGUUUUCGGAUUGUAAACCUCUGUCCUCUGUGAAGAUAAUGACGGUAGCAGAGGAGGAAGCUCCGGCUAACUACGUGCCAGCAGCCGCGGUAAUACGUAGGGAGCG